UCUGGUUGAUCCUGCCGGAGGACAUUGCUAUUGGGAUUCGAUUUAGCCAUGCUAGUUGUACGAACUUAGAUUCGUAGCAGAUAGCUCAGUAACACGUGGCCAAGCUACCCUUCAGACCACCAUAACCUCGGGAAACUGAGGCUAAUAGUGGAUACGAUAUGCCUGCUGGAAUGCGGCAUACUCUAAACGCUCAGGCGCCGAAGGAUGCGGCUGCGGCCGAUUAGGUAGACGGUGGGGUAACGGCCCACCGUGCCAAUAAUUGGUACGGGUGAUGAGAGUCAGAGCCCGGAGACGGAAUCUGAGACAAGAUUCCGGGCCCUACGGGGCGCAGCAGGCGCGAAACCUUUACACUGCACGCAAGUGCGAUAGGGGAAUCCCAAGUGCGAGGGCAUACUAGCCCUCGCUUCUGUUGACUGUAAGGAGGUCAACGAAUAAGAGCUGGGCAAGACCGGUGCCAGCCGCCGCGGUAAUACCGGCAGCUCGAGUGAUGUCCAAUUUUAUUGGGCCUAAAGCGUCCGUAGCUGGCCAGCCAAGUCCGUCGGGAAAUCCACCUGCCCAACAGGUGGGCGUCCGGCGGAAACUGUCGGGCUUGGAACCGGAAGGCUC
Molecule: ribosomal RNA, 606 nt
Filed under: uncultured archaeon
Lineage: Archaea
Description: bacterial SSU rRNA
Rfam family: Archaeal small subunit ribosomal RNA
Source: RNAcentral